RNAcentral lists this ribosomal RNA (488 nucleotides) under uncultured bacterium. Its description in RNAcentral is "bacterial SSU rRNA". It matches the Rfam family "Bacterial small subunit ribosomal RNA", at positions 341 to 847 of the family's 1533-position model. The record is from RNAcentral.
ACGGGAGGCAGCAGUGGGGGAUAUUGGACAAUGGGGGCAACCUGAUCCAGCGACGCCGCGUGAGGGAAGAAGGUUUUCGGAUUGUAAACCUCUGUUGACGGAGAAAAAAAUGAUGGUAUCCGUUUAGAAAGCCACGGCUAACUACGUGCCAGCAGCCGCGGUAAUACGUAGGUGGCAAGCGUUGUCCGGAAUUACUGGGUGUAAAGGGAGUGUAGGCGGGAUAUCAAGUCAGAAGUGAAAAUUACGGGCUCAACUCGUAACCUGCUUUUGAAACUGACAUUCUUGAGUGAAGUAGAGGCAAGCGGAAUUCCUAGUGUAGCGGUGAAAUGCGUAGAUAUUAGGAGGAACACCAGUGGCGAAGGCGGCUUGCUGGGCUUUUACUGACGCUGAGGCUCGAAAGCGUGGGGAGCAAACAGGAUUAGAUACCCUGGUAGUCCACGCCGUAAACGAUGAUUAUUAGGUGUGGGGGGAUUGACCCCUUCCGUGCC